GAUGAACGCUGGCGGCGUGCCUAAUACAUGCAAGUCGAACGAGGUGCUUUUUGUAGCAAUACGAGGAGUAUCCUAGUGGCGAACGGGUGAGUAACGCGUGGGUGACCUACCCCAAAGUGUGGAAUAACAGUCCGAAAGGAUUGCUAAUGCCGCAUGUGGUCUGCGAGUUUAGAAAUCGUUGACUAAAGGAGCAAUUCGCUUUGGGAGGGACCUGCGUCCCAUCAGCUAGUUGGUGAGGUAAAGGCUCACCAAGGCGACGAUCUGUAGCGGGUCUGAGAGGAUGAUCCGCCGCACUGGAACUGAGACACGGUCCAGACUCCUACGGGAGGCGGCAGUGGGGAAUUUUGGACAAUGGGCGCAAGCCUGAUCCAGCCAUGCCGCGUGAGUGAAGAAGGCCUCGGUUG
RNAcentral lists this ribosomal RNA (404 nucleotides) under uncultured bacterium. RNAcentral's name for it is "bacterial SSU rRNA". It matches the Rfam family "Bacterial small subunit ribosomal RNA", at positions 28 to 425 of the family's 1533-position model. The record is from RNAcentral.